Molecule: ribosomal RNA, 897 nt
Filed under: Fe-oxidizing bacterium FO2
Lineage: Bacteria; Pseudomonadati; Pseudomonadota; Alphaproteobacteria
Description: bacterial SSU rRNA
Rfam family: Bacterial small subunit ribosomal RNA
Source: RNAcentral
UACGGGAGGCANCNGNGNGGAAUAUUGGANAAUGGGCNCAAGCCUGAUGCNGCCAUGCCGNGUGUAUGAAGAANGCCUUCNGGUNGUAAANUACUUUCAGCGGGGAGGAAGGUGUUGUGGUUAAUAACCACAGCAAUUGACGUUACCCGCAGAAGAAGCACCGGCUAACUCCGUGCCAGCAGCCGCGGUAAUACGGAGGGUGCAAGCGUUAAUCGGAAUUACUGGGCGUAAAGCGCGCGCAGGCGGUCUGUCAAGUCGGAUGUGAAAUCCCCGGGCUCAACCUGGGAACUGCAUUCAAAACUGACUGACUAGAGUAUGGUAGAGGGUGGUGGAAUUUCCUGUGUAGCGGUGAAAUGCGUAGAUAUAGGAAGGAACACCAGUGGCGAAGGCGACCACCUGGACUGAUACUGACACUGAGGUGCGAAAGCGUGGGGAGCAAACGGGAUUAGAUACCCUGGUAGUCCACGCCGUAAACGAUGAGUGCUAAGUGUUAGGGGGUUUCCGCCCCUUAGUUGCCAGCAUUCAGUUGGGCACUCUAGGGGGACUGCCGGUGAUAAGCCGAGAGGAAGGUGGGGAUGACGUCAAGUCCUCAUGGCCCUUACGGGCUGGGCUACACACGUGCUACAAUGGCGGUGACAGUGGGCAGCGAACUCGCGAGAGGGAGCUAAUCUCCAAAAGCCGUCUCAGUUCGGAUUGUUCUCUGCAACUCGAGAGCAUGAAGUUGGAAUCGCUAGUAAUCGCGUAACAGCAUGACGCGGUGAAUACGUUCCCGGGCCUUGUACACACCGCCCGUCACNCCAUGGGAGUUGGGUUUACCCGAAGGCAGUGCGCUANCCGCAAGGGGGCAGCUGACCNCGGUAGGCUCAGCGACUGGGGUGAAGUCGUAACAAGGUAACC